RNAcentral lists this ribosomal RNA (498 nucleotides) under uncultured bacterium. RNAcentral's name for it is "partial 16S ribosomal RNA". It matches the Rfam family "Bacterial small subunit ribosomal RNA", at positions 28 to 523 of the family's 1533-position model. The record is from RNAcentral.
GAUGAACGCUAGCGGCAGGCUUAAUACAUGCAAGUCGAACGGGAUUGAGAAGCUUGCUUUUCAUGAGAGUGGCGCACGGGUGCGUAACGCGUAUGCAACCUACCUUCAUCUGGGGGAUAGCCCGGAGAAAUCCGGAUUAAUACCGCAUAAAAUCACAGGAUGGCAUUAUCCAAUGAUCAAACAUUUGUGGGAUGGAGAUGGGCAUGCGUGUCAUUAGCUAGUUGGCGGGGUAACGGCCCACCAAGGCGACGAUGACUAGGGGAUCUGAGAGGAUGGCCCCCCACACUGGUACUGAGACACGGACCAGACUCCUACGGGAGGCAGCAGUAAGGAAUAUUGGUCAAUGGAGGCAACUCUGAACCAGCCAUGCCGCGUGCAGGAAGACUGCCCUACGGGUUGUAAACUGCUUUUAUUCGGGAAUAAACCUUAUUACGUGUAAUAAGCUGAAUGUACCGAAGGAAUAAGGAUCGGCUAACUCCGUGCCAGCCGCCGCAGUAA